UCCUAAACUCGUUUGCAUCGAGAAACAAGGAUAAAUAGCAAUCUACAGUAUUUAUUAACUCAAGGUAUCCUAAUAUACUAUACUUAAAUCUCACGUAUGUCCAUGAGAUCCAUGGCGGCUGAACCAUGUGCCCUCGAGUACUGUAUCCCCUCUCUAAGAGCGACGACUGCGGGGCGGUAAGGCAGAUUCCCCCGUUUCUAGCGUCGGUGGCCUAGCAGAGGUCGUUUUCCUCCGGAUCCGCUGAUCUAGUUGGAGGAUGAACAAUUGUUCAGGUCCAGAUCCAUCCCGUGCGGAUGUUGGGCGUUCAACAUGGAUUGGUGUGGGUGUUCGUGAGUUUGUCGCUGUCUUCUUGCUCAGCGAUAUAGGAUAGAGGAAGUUCAUCCUAUUCUUCUUAAUUGAGCAGCGGUAGUCUGCAGCAAGCCAAGUACGCAGGUACGAGGGAGUGCUCCAUCCGAGGGAAUUCCUAUAGGGCCAGGGAUGCUUCUACACCACCAGCAUGAUCACGCUUCCUCCUUGGAAUUCCAUGGAAGGUUUGUCCCCAUUAUUUCAUUUUUCUCGUUCUAUUGACCUUACGACCUUGCUCCCAUUCCGCACGGCUACCUCUCGGCUCCUCCUUUGUGGUGUGUGCGUGCGUGCGUGCGUCGGUGAUCAGGGCUUCCACUUAUGGGAAGAGGAGGUUGUUGCGUGAUGUGUUGUUCCCAGGACUGCCCAUCACAUGUUUGAGCACACAAUUCAUCAGCUGAUUGGCCGUAAACAGUUCAGACAUAUAAUUUGAAAGCAGGUACAUAGUAUAACUUCUCUUGUUGCUUUAUUUUGUACCUAUAGGAAAAAUAACUGUAGUUUUUGAUACUUUGGUUUUUUUAGUACUUUGCUAUCAAACAUGGCCUUAGUUUAAGUGUAAAUGAUUGUUCUCAUGAAAGCCAGCAUGACCAUGUAAGUUGUUCUCAUACAUUGAUUUCAUACGAUAUUAUACUUUGUGCUAAUUUAUUUACAUAGACUAAUAUUCAUAAAUUACUCAAUGUUUUGUAGGACUAAUGGUCCAUCAUAAUAUAUAGAAGCAUCAGGAGGCACUCUAAUCUCCAAUAAAGAAUGACAUCAAUACGAACAAGAAUGGUGUCCCUCAAUUGAAGCUUAAUAAAUAUUAUCUUUCAUAGUUGUCUCCUUUUCCAGUUAGAUAAGGGCAAGUACAUUGGUCAUAUAAGGAGUGCUUUUGAAUUGAAAAUUUUGAAGGAUACUUUUGUUCCAUUAUUGUAUGUCGAAAUAUUGUUAUUAAUUUGAUUUUUACUAAUAAAAGAAGUUAUGGUCCUUUCAAUUCA
Long non-coding RNA from Hordeum vulgare subsp. vulgare (domesticated barley), 1316 nucleotides. RefSeq lists it as uncharacterized. The transcript has 2 exons. The record is from RefSeq and is a predicted model, not a curated record. Lineage: Eukaryota; Viridiplantae; Streptophyta; Magnoliopsida; Poales; Poaceae.